GCUGCAGCAGCACGUACUAAAAUAGGAACGAUACAGGGAAGAUGAGCACGGCCCCUGCGUAAGGAUGACACACAAAUCUAUGAAGCCUUCCCUCUUUUU
This 99-nucleotide small nuclear RNA is filed under the name Dasypus novemcinctus (nine-banded armadillo). Lineage: Eukaryota; Metazoa; Chordata; Mammalia; Cingulata; Dasypodidae. The record is from RNAcentral.